RNAcentral lists this ribosomal RNA (705 nucleotides) under uncultured archaeon. RNAcentral's name for it is "bacterial SSU rRNA". It matches the Rfam family "Archaeal small subunit ribosomal RNA", at positions 53 to 764 of the family's 1478-position model. The record is from RNAcentral.
GCGAGUCUUUGUAGUAAUACAAGGCAGACGGCUCAGUAACACGUAGUCAACCUGCCCUAUGGACAAGAAUAAUCUCGGGAAACUGAGCAUAAUUCUUGAUAGAUCAUAAUGCCUGGAAUGGUUUAUGGUUAAAAUGAUUCGUCGCCAUAGGAUGGGACUGCGGCCUAUCAGCUUGUUGGUGAGGUAAUGGCCCACCAAGGCGAUUACAGGUACGGGCUCUGAGAGGAGAAGCCCGGAGAUGGGUACUGAGACACGGACCCAGGCCCUAUGGGGCGCAGCAGGCGAGAAAACUUUGCAAUGUGCGAAAGCACGACAAGGUUAAUCCGAGUGAUUUCUGCUAAAGAAAUCUUUUGCCAGUCGUAAAACCGCUGGUGAAUAAGGGGUGGGCAAGUUCUGGUGUCAGCCGCCGCGGUAAAACCAGCACCUCAAGUGGUCAGGAUGAUUAUUGGGCCUAAAGCAUCCGUAGCCGGCUUUGUAAGUUUUCGGUUAAAUCCAUGUGCUCAACGCAUGGGCUGCCGAAAAUACUGCAUAGCUAGGGAGUGGGAGAGGUAGACGGUACUCAGUAGGUAGGGGUAAAAUCCUUUGAUCUAUUGAUGACCACCUGUGGCGAAGGCGGUCUACCAGAACACGUUCGACGGUGAGGGAUGAAAGCUGGGGGAGCAAACCGGAUUACAUACCCGGGUAGUCCCAGCUGUAAACGAUGCA